CCCCCCCCCCCGUAUGUAUAUUACCAUCCAGGAGCGUUGGGUUAGGACUGGUACACAUGUACCAUUCAAAUGCGGUCCAAAAGUUUCUGAAUGGAGCAACACCACCCAAACACAAGGCGAUAUGCCAGCCAGGAGUGAAACAUGGGUGGAAAGGUGAUGACGCCUUCCCACUGGCCUGUCUGUGGAUCCCUGUCUGUGGAUCUUCUUGAGACCUUCAACCUGCGGGAUGAUGUCAGGAGGUGUUGCUGGCCAACUUGUUCACUGUGGGCAAUCUGUUAAAUUGCCACAAUGUCACAGUGUGGUAUACUGGUGGCAAAUGUACUCAGACUAGCAUCCCAUUCAUCUAUGUGCCUGGUCCAGAAAUUUGAGGGCAUCGUCUUGAAUGGACAACCAAUUGUCAACGAGUAUGACUGCCCACUGUUGACCCUAACGGAUACGAUUACUGGAGUCUACCCUGUUGACAUUUUAAUUGAAACGUCAAUAGCAUGAAUGUACAGACACUUGUGAAUUUGUCAGUAACGGACCGCUCAAUGUCCUACAAGUUGAACGAGUCGAACGAGAGACAAUUCCAACAAACAGAUUUGUAUACAUGCCAGACUGGACGUACAAAACGAUACAUAACGAUACAUAAGUGUACACACAUUUUGAAUCUGACCUGUUCACCUAAUGUUCAGAUUCACAAAUGAUCAGUAUAUGGGACUUCCGAUACACACUGUGCCAGUUCCGAUACAGAAUGACUGUGAUAUAUUAAUCUGUGUAAAACUUUAUGAUGAAAUGAAACACUGGCUUCGGAAUCAAUCGGCUAGCACAGAAAGUUGUUUGAUGUAGCAGCCUCAUUUUGGAGUAGUCACUUCUCUAAACUAGCUGAAAAUGAAAAUGAAAAGGCCGGGAGUGGUACCUUUUAGUAAUGAACGUGUGGGUGGUUCAUGGCGCGACUGUUGCAAUAGGUCCCACUCCUUGCACCAGAUCUUAGUACACAGAGUGAUGAUGUCAUAUGAUUUAACAGGUGGUGGUCCAGUGGAACCUCACAUUUAGAUACAAAAACGAAGGACUAAGAAUAGAGGAUGACCCAGAGGAUGCUUUAGCUCCCCAUCAAGUAUGUAGAAAAUUAAG
This is a long non-coding RNA of Halichondria panicea, 1113 nucleotides long. RefSeq lists it as uncharacterized. NCBI's taxonomy places the organism in Eukaryota, Metazoa, Porifera, Demospongiae, Suberitida, Halichondriidae. The transcript is spliced from 3 exons. The record is from RefSeq and is a predicted model, not a curated record.